This 209-nucleotide long non-coding RNA is filed under the name Mytilus galloprovincialis (Mediterranean mussel). Lineage: Eukaryota; Metazoa; Mollusca; Bivalvia; Mytilida; Mytilidae. The record is from RNAcentral.
ACAAAAUCGGUUUAAUUGGUAGCAGAGACGGAUUAAGCGGGAUGACAGAGGGCCAUAGUCCCCCCUUUUAUAUAUUUAUUUACAUUAAUGAUUUAGAAAAACAUUUAUUAAUUUGAGAAAAGUGGUUAUUUAUUUAUACCAGAGAAAAGUAUAAAUUUAAAGUAGUUAAGAAAGCGAGAUUUUGAUUGGAUAAAACAAUUAAUAAAGCA